RNAcentral lists this transfer RNA (84 nucleotides) under Phycisphaerae bacterium. Its description in RNAcentral is "tRNA-Leu". It matches the Rfam family "tRNA". From Rfam's summary of the family: Transfer RNA (tRNA) molecules are approximately 80 nucleotides in length. The record is from RNAcentral. Lineage: Bacteria; Pseudomonadati; Planctomycetota; Phycisphaerae.
GGCCCGGUGGCGGAAUCGGCAGACGCUGGGGACUUAAAAUCCCCUGCCCCUCGGGGCGUGAGGGUUCAAAUCCCUCCCGGGCCA